GACGAACGCUGGCGGCGUGCUUAACACAUGCAAGUCGAACGGUGAAAGCGGAGCUUGCUCCGCUGGAUCAGUGGCGAACGGGUGAGUAACACGUGGGCAACCUGCCCCUCACUUCGGGAUAACUCCGGGAAACCGGGGCUAAUACCGGAUAUGACCUCCUUGGGCAUCCUUGGAGGUGGAAAGUUUUUCGGUGAGGGAUGGGCUCGCGGCCUCGCAGCGUGUUGGUGAGGUAGUGGCUCACCAAGGAGACGGCGGGUAGCCGGCCUGAGAGGGGGACCAGCCACACUGGGACUGAGACACGGACCAGACUCCUACGGGAGGCAGCAGUGGGGAAUAUUGCGCAAUGGGCGAAAGCCUGACGCAGCAACGCCGCGUGCGGGAUGACGGCCUUCGGGUUGUAAACCGCUUUCAGCAGGGAAGAAGCCGCAAGGUGACGGUACCUGCAGAAGAAGCACCGGCUAACUACGUGCCAGCCGCCGCCGUAA
Molecule: ribosomal RNA, 485 nt
Filed under: uncultured bacterium
Lineage: Bacteria
Description: partial 16S ribosomal RNA
Rfam family: Bacterial small subunit ribosomal RNA
Source: RNAcentral